RNAcentral lists this ribosomal RNA (417 nucleotides) under uncultured Legionella sp. Its description in RNAcentral is "bacterial SSU rRNA". It matches the Rfam family "Bacterial small subunit ribosomal RNA", at positions 460 to 872 of the family's 1533-position model. Lineage: Bacteria; Pseudomonadati; Pseudomonadota; Gammaproteobacteria; Legionellales; Legionellaceae. The record is from RNAcentral.
CUAAUUAACUGGACGUUACCUACAGAAGAAGCACCGGCUAACUCCGUGCCAGCAGCCGCGGUAAUACGGAGGGUGCGAGCGUUAAUCGGAAUUACUGGGCGUAAAGGGUGCGUAGGUGGUUUGAUAAGUUAGUUGUGAAAUUCCUGGGCUCAACCUAGGCACUGCAACUAAUACUGUUGAACUCGAGUAUGGGAGAGGGCAGUGGAAUUUCCGGUGUAGCGGUGAAAUGCGUAGAGAUCGGAAGGAACACCAGUGGCGAAGGCGGCUGCCUGGCCUAAUCGACUGACACUGAGGCACGAAAGCGUGGGGAGCAAACAGGAUUAGAUACCCUGGUAGUCCACGCCGUAAACGAUGUCAACUAGCCGUUGGUUAUAUGAAUAUAAUUAGUGGCGCAGCAAACGCGAUAAGUUGACAUGU